RNAcentral lists this ribosomal RNA (465 nucleotides) under uncultured bacterium. RNAcentral's name for it is "partial 16S ribosomal RNA". It matches the Rfam family "Bacterial small subunit ribosomal RNA", at positions 28 to 506 of the family's 1533-position model. The record is from RNAcentral.
GAUGAACGCUGGCGGCGUGCUUAACACAUGCAAGUCGAACGGUGAAAGAGAGCUUGCUCUCUGGAUCAGUGGCGAACGGGUGAGUAACACGUGAGCAAUCUGCCCCUGACUCUGGGAUAAGCGCUGGAAACGGCGUCUAAUACCGGAUACGAGCUGCGAAGGCAUCUUCAGCAGCUGGAAAGAACUUCGGUCAGGGAUGAGCUCGCGGCCUAUCAGCUAGUUGGUGAGGUAACGGCUCACCAAGGCGUCGACGGGUAGCCGGCCUGAGAGGGUGACCGGCCACACUGGGACUGAGACACGGCCCAGACGCCUACGGGAGGCAGCAGGGGGGAAUAUUGCACAAUGGGCGAAAGCCUGAUGCAGCAACGCCGCGUGAGGGACGACGGCCUUCGGGUUGUAAACCUCUUUUAGCAGGGAAGAAGCGAAAGUGACGGUACCUGCAGAAAAAGCACCGGCUAACUACGU